AGUCUGCAACCCGACUACACGAAGCUGGAAUCGCUAGUAAUCGCGAAUCAGAAUGUCGCGGUGAAUACGUUCCCGGGUCUUGUACACACCGCCCGUCACACCAUGGGAGUCGGGAAUGCCCGAAGUCAGUGACCCAACCUAUAGGAGGGAGCUGCCGAAGGCAGGUCUGAUAACUGGGGUGAAGUCGUAACAAGGUAAC
RNAcentral lists this ribosomal RNA (199 nucleotides) under uncultured bacterium. RNAcentral describes it as "partial 16S ribosomal RNA". It matches the Rfam family "Bacterial small subunit ribosomal RNA", at positions 1302 to 1500 of the family's 1533-position model. The record is from RNAcentral.